This 451-nucleotide ribosomal RNA is filed under the name uncultured bacterium. Its description in RNAcentral is "bacterial SSU rRNA". It matches the Rfam family "Bacterial small subunit ribosomal RNA", at positions 354 to 796 of the family's 1533-position model. The record is from RNAcentral.
GUGGGGAAUCUUGCGCAAUGGACGAAAGUCUGACGCAGCGACGCCGCGUGGGUGACGAAGGCCUUCGGGUUGUAAAGCCCUGUGGGGAGAGACGAACCGGCCUGUGGCUAAUAUCCACGGGUCUUGACGGUAUCUCCUUAGCAAGCAUCGGCUAACUCUGUGCCAGCAGCCGCGGUAAGACAGAGGAUGCAAACGUUGCUCGGAAUUACUGGGCGUAAAGCGCGCGCAGGCGGUCUUGUAAGUCGGGUGUGAAAGCCCCGGGCUCAACCCGGGAAGUGCACUCGAUACUGCAUGACUGGAGUACUGGAGAGGAGAGCGGAAUUCUCGGUGUAGAGGUGAAAUUCGUAGAUAUCGGGAGGAACACCAGCGGCGAAGGCGGCUCUCUGGACAGAUACUGACGCUGAGGCGCGAAAGCGUGGGAAGCAAACAGGAUUAGAAACCCCAGUAGUCC